Molecule: long non-coding RNA, 1101 nt
Filed under: Athene cunicularia (burrowing owl)
Lineage: Eukaryota; Metazoa; Chordata; Aves; Strigiformes; Strigidae
Description: lncRNA (ENSACUG00000006566.1)
Source: RNAcentral
CGGGGAGGGAAGGCCUAAUUGGCACAAUGAUUAAAAUUCCCGCAGGAGGGCGAAAAGAAGGCGCCGCUAAUCGUACCAGGGGUUUUGCACGUGCCUGUCCAUAGGAGUGCUGUCCCAUGUGCCUAUUUAACACCUUCAUGCUGCUGUCUGGGGAGGGAGAAGCAGACACGUUCCUACCCAAACUAGGGGGGCUCUGUGAGGUUGGGGUGCAAGCAGGGCUCCGUCAGGGUGUCCUGGGCUGGCACACCUGCAGCAUCUAUGAGGAUCCCCUAUGAAACCACACCCCUUGAAUAAUUCCUUUCCCCUGCUUUGCACGGCAUGGCCCACCUUUCUGAUCUCUCCAUCCAUCAGUUUAAAACAUUUUCAUUUUACUUUCAGGCUCCGCUUGUCCUGAAGUGAACCUUUCCUCCUAGGCUUGGAUACCCACUUUUCUGAGACCCAUCUCCUCCAUGUGGCAUAUGGACCCAACUGAGCUGUCUGCAGCAGUAGACAUCACUUCACUGGUGCAGUGUAACAGUUCUCCACUACUGCAAAGCCAGCAAAGGGCUUUAUCAUAUUUGGGUCUGUGGAAAAAAAUGCAUUUCGUAGCUACAGGCUUGCCGACUGAUCACCAGACUAUGGCUGACCCUGGUCAUCGUCACUGGACCUGCUCCGCUUUACUUGUUGAGGUACUGUGAGAAAGCACCUUGUUGAUGAGGAAACAGCCCCUGUCUGCCUUGCUGUGAUCUUCAGCCUCUGGCUCACCUGUUGUAGAGAAGGCUGCUCCUGCUGCUUCCCAGGGAUGCCAAGGUGCAUGAAUAAGAAAGGAAGAAGUGCUGCAUGCUUGGGUUUCACCCAAAUCAAGAGCUGGACGUGGCUGGUCAGAGACCUCAGAACUAGUCCUGGCUCUGAUAAUUUUGGCAUUCUCAGAAUCAAGCGAAACAAAGAUGCAGUCGGGUAGGUUUGCAAGUAGAAUGUAAUUAAGAAAUGUCAUGACAAGCAGAACUGCAAGCCUGUAGUGAACCACUUGAAUUGUAAAUGAGCCUUGGUUGGUAGAGAAUGCAGGCAAAGCUGCAAACUUCUUCCCACUUUGUGCUGGGUAUUAAGAUGUGGAUACUCAAG